UACGGAGGAUCCAAGCGUUAUCCGGAUUUAUUGGGUUUAAAGGGUGCGCAGGCGGAAGAUUAAGUCGGCGGUGAAAUUUUGCAGCUCAACUGUAAAAGUGCCAUCGAUACUGGCUUUCUUGAGUGUGGAUGAAGUAGGCGGAAUUUGUGGUGUAGCGGUGAAAUGCAUAGAUAUCACGAGGAACUCCGAUUGCGCAGGCAGCUUACUAGGCCAUAACUGACGCUCAGGCACGAAGGCGUGGGGAUCAAACAGGAUUA
Molecule: ribosomal RNA, 257 nt
Filed under: uncultured prokaryote
Description: partial 16S ribosomal RNA
Rfam family: Bacterial small subunit ribosomal RNA
Source: RNAcentral